This 506-nucleotide long non-coding RNA is filed under the name Mus caroli (Ryukyu mouse). Its description in RNAcentral is "lncRNA (MGP_CAROLIEiJ_G0013376.1)". Lineage: Eukaryota; Metazoa; Chordata; Mammalia; Rodentia; Muridae. The record is from RNAcentral.
CAGAAUGUACGCCUGCAGGCGGACUCCCACCUUCCUCGUUACUCUUGAGGUUUGAGAUUCCCUGUUUGUGUCUGCAGGAUUCAGAUAGUCUCACAAGAUGACUACACAUAUGUAUGUAUGUAUAUAUGUAAGAAGAAAGUGUGACAGAAUAAGGACCAUGUAGGUGAGGGAUAAGAUGAAAUGAGCAGAAGCAGGCAGAAUACAUAGAUGAGCGAACGGAACAUCAAUCUCUUUAUAACCUCUUCUGUCUAUACUUCAAGAAUGGAUAUCCUACAAGCCGACUUCGUAGAGUCUCCCUUGAAAGUGGACCUCGUGAUCUAGCCUUUAUGUCCGUGGAUAGACACUGUUGUAUAUAUACACUUCCUCGGUUUCGAGAUUCCUGCUCUGGUGGUUGUAGUCAUAAGAUAUACAUAGUUGUGUAGUCAUUGCUCACAUCUUGGUUGUGGGCACACACACUAGUGUUGAAUUACCACCUUGUCCAAGUGGAUGGAUGCCCUCAAUGGGAU